GGCCAAUCAGCAUCUACCUCUGC
RNAcentral lists this non-coding RNA (23 nucleotides) under Arabidopsis thaliana (thale cress). The record is from RNAcentral. Lineage: Eukaryota; Viridiplantae; Streptophyta; Magnoliopsida; Brassicales; Brassicaceae.